Molecule: ribosomal RNA, 110 nt
Filed under: Periophthalmus magnuspinnatus
Lineage: Eukaryota; Metazoa; Chordata; Actinopteri; Gobiiformes; Gobiidae
Source: RNAcentral
CAAACCUCCUUGUCAAAGCCUAAUCUCGUCAGAUCUCAGAAGUUAAAUAGGGCUGGCCCUGGGUAGUACUUGGAUGGGUGACCGCUGGGAAUAUCAGAUGAAAAAAUUGC